Molecule: ribosomal RNA, 478 nt
Filed under: uncultured bacterium
Lineage: Bacteria
Description: partial 16S ribosomal RNA
Rfam family: Bacterial small subunit ribosomal RNA
Source: RNAcentral
GACGAACGCUGGCGGCGUGCUUAACACAUGCAAGUCGAACGGUAAGGCCCUUCGGGGUACACGAGUGGCGAACGGGUGAGUAACACGUGGGUGAUCUGCCCUGCACUUCGGGAUAAGCCUGGGAAACUGGGUCUAAUACCGGAUAGGACCACUGCCUGCAUGGGUGGUGGUGGAAAGCUUUUGCGGUACGGGAUGGGCCCGCGGCCUAUCAGCUUGUUGGGGGGGUGAUGGCCUACCAAGGCGACGACGGUUAGCCGGCCUGAGAGGGUGACCGGCCACGCGGGGACUGGGAUACGGCCCAGGCUCCUACGGGAGGCAGCAGUGGGGAAUAUUGCACAAUGGGCGCAAGCCUGAGGAAGCGACGCCGCGUGAGGGAUGACGGCCUUCGGGUUGUAAACCUCUUUCAGCACCGACGAAGCGCAAGUGACGGUAGGUGCAGAAGAAGGACCGGCCAACUACGUGCCAGCAGCCGCCGUAA